This 365-nucleotide ribosomal RNA is filed under the name uncultured Pelotomaculum sp. RNAcentral's name for it is "bacterial SSU rRNA". It matches the Rfam family "Bacterial small subunit ribosomal RNA", at positions 1019 to 1382 of the family's 1533-position model. Lineage: Bacteria; Bacillati; Bacillota; Clostridia; Eubacteriales; Desulfotomaculaceae. The record is from RNAcentral.
CAAGGGGACGGCGAGACAGGUGGUGCAUGGUUGUCGUCAGCUCGUGUCGUGAGAUGUUGGGUUAAGUCCCGCAACGAGCGCAACCCCUACGUUUAGUUGCUAACGCGUGAAGGCGAGCACUCUAGACGAACUGCCGUUGACAAAACGGAGGAAGUGGGGAUGACGUCAAAUCAUCAUGCCCCUUAUGUUCUGGGCUACACACGUGCUACAAUGGCCGGUACAGACGGACGCAAAGCCGCGAGGUGGAGCAAAUCCUAAAAAGCCGGUCUCAGUUCGGAUUGCAGGCUGCAAUUCGCCUGCAUGAAGUCGGAAUCGCUAGUAAUCGCAGGUCAGCAUACUCGCGGUCGAAUACGUUCCCGGGCCUU